AUUUCUACACUGGAUAGUCUGGAAAUGGUGGCCUGUCUACAUUCCCACAAGAACUUCAUAUCAUAAGACAUAGUACUUGGCACCAUAUUUUUUAAUGUUUUGAAGCUCUAUAUUACAGUGUAUGACAUUCUGAAUAAACUCAGCCUUGUUUCCUUACCUGCUGUGAGAAAAAGUUUGCAUCCCAAGAAAAGCUGAUGUAGACGAGCACAUCACAAUAACUUCCAGCUCCAUACCUAUUCCCUGCUGCUGUUGAAACUAGCAGUCUUGCAUAUAAAUCACACUUCUCUUAUUACCCAGGAAUCUUUCAACUCCU
This 313-nucleotide long non-coding RNA is filed under the name Calidris pugnax (ruff). Its description in RNAcentral is "lncRNA (ENSCPUG00000015745.1)". Lineage: Eukaryota; Metazoa; Chordata; Aves; Charadriiformes; Scolopacidae. The record is from RNAcentral.